GAGGUUUUCAAAUCUUAUUCAAGUGUUGAAUUAAUUGCUGGUGCCAAAAUUCGGAGUCACUUUAAAAAAGGUAAAAAUUCAGCAUGUGAAAUUUGUUUUUUGACCUAGAGAGAGAGAGGUGUGCUGAGAAGGCCCCAGGGGAGCAGCCCUCAGCAGGAGGGUGGGUGGUGUCUCCUUUUGUCUGAAAAGGCAGGUGUGGUUCUCAAAGGAGAAGCUGUCCACCAUCAGGGAAUGGUGUGGAGGUAGGAGAAGAGAAGUGAUUGCAGCCUGAGCCAAUUCUGAGCGAGCUCGUGGGCGUCGGAGUUUGGCCCUGUAUGGGAGGCAGGAGGAGUCCCCGGAGGGAGAGCGUUGGCAGUGCCCGUGGUCCAUGGGUCUAGAAGCUGCUGCUCGUCAUAGUGUGCUGGCUUCGUCACAGGCAGGGUGCUACCCGCUACCAGGCUCACUCUCAUGGUGGUUCUGGGGAUGAUGUGCACUCACUAUGUGAGUUGGGGGAGACACUCUCUUACCGGGAUCUGGGAUUCACUUGCUGAGCUGCUUUUUAUUCAUCUUUAAAGUUGUUUCAAAAUUUGCAGGGAGAGCUUGCCAGGAGGAAACCAACGUGAAAUAAGAGGCCACAGGAGCAUGCAGAACAUCAUGAUCUUGCAGAAAGAGAUGAGGCUGUCGGCAGAUGUUCCAGCCAAGCACUUCCUGCUUUGACAUCUCGGUAAAAUGCAGGGUUAUCUGCAAAGCGGGUCUGAGGGGAAUCAGCGUUUCCAUUCUUAACAUC
This 766-nucleotide long non-coding RNA is filed under the name Homo sapiens (human). RNAcentral describes it as "HSALNT0198783". Lineage: Eukaryota; Metazoa; Chordata; Mammalia; Primates; Hominidae. The record is from RNAcentral.